Molecule: long non-coding RNA, 1307 nt
Organism: Polypterus senegalus (gray bichir)
Lineage: Eukaryota; Metazoa; Chordata; Cladistia; Polypteriformes; Polypteridae
Exons: 5
Source: RefSeq, a predicted model, not a curated record
CAAAAGUAGAAAUAAAAUUGGUUUUCUCUGCCGUGGCUGGUCUGAAGCCUGGCUAAAAAAGAAGAGUUGGGUAUUGGACCAGCAACCUUAGCCCACUAAAAUCACACUGGUACAAUAAGAGCAAUAAAAGGGUUCGCCUUUGAGGUACCCCAGUACUUCAUCUUCCCUUGUCUCCUACAUAUGUGGGAUGAGGAUAUGAGGUGAUCGCCUAAGGAAGCACUUUGAGAAGGAUGCCAUUUUCAUGGAAACAUACGUAUAUUUUUAACAUUACAAAAUGGUUCCCUAGGAUGCUGGGCCAUCUGCCCAUCACUGUAACAGACAGCCCUCAGCCCUGUAAAGGUGGGGACAGCCCACAGUUCCUUGUGGAUCAUUCGUAUGAACCAGGGACUGCCUCCAAACUUGAAUUAUGGAAUGCUCUAAGGGAAUUCCUAGCUGGAUGGCCUUCCUAAAGAUAAUGAUACUUCAAAGUUGUGCUUACAACACCCCGUCAUUACAUUCCAAACCUUAUGACAAAAAUAAAGGAAUCAACAAGACUUCAGAACUGAGAGAAAAUUGAGCAAACCCUCCAUUGUGAUGAUACGAUUGCUCAGCUCAUAUUUACAUUUGAAGACUGUAACUGGAUGGUGUUGUAAUUAAAACGCUUAUGUGCUUGAGUACCAGAAUUGCUUUAUUUGCUAUUUAAAUUGUACACCUAAACGCAUUUAUACAAACAUCUACUACGCAACAGAGUGAGAGAAAGAAAGGCUCUACUUACAUCUUGUCUCCUUCCAUCUCCUGAAUUUCUGCACAUGCAGUCAUCAUAACAAGUUAACGUAUUUAUUGCAACUCAACAAAAAAAACUGAAAGCUAAGAAAAGCAAAAAAAUAAAUAAAGGAAUCCAGAUUUUCCCCAAGCUUAGUGCCACACGACCUGUCAGCAAGAAUAGAAUUCAGUGUGCAGACAUGUGCUACCAAAGUCACUAGCUUGGCAAAGAAAGCUCAUUAAACCAGUGACAAUCAUCUGAACAAAGCUGCCAUACAUCGGCUAUUCAUUGUCGUCUGUGUACAAAUGGGAAAAGCGAACGAACAAGGAAUGUGCAAACAUUAUUUCCUUUAUAGUAGUCAGCCAAGAAGAAGAAGAACCACAUAACAUUUCGCAAAUAUGAUGUCCUUGUUUAAAAGAAAUGCAAUCCAUGGAAAAGAUGUGUUAAUCUUAGCAAGAAAAUCAUUGUUAUUCAGCCAUUAAAAUGUAAAAUAUUGAGUAUAAAAUCGUCACAGUUUCCUAUCCAUUUUUCUUACGGCCAUAAUUAACUAUGACCUAUUAUUCCA